RNAcentral lists this unclassified non-coding RNA (656 nucleotides) under uncultured Trechispora. RNAcentral's name for it is "partial contains 5.8S ribosomal RNA, internal transcribed spacer 2, and large subunit ribosomal RNA". The stretch from base 317 to 408 matches the Rfam family "5.8S ribosomal RNA", at positions 40 to 154 of the family's 154-position model. Lineage: Eukaryota; Fungi; Basidiomycota; Agaricomycetes; Polyporales; Polyporaceae. The record is from RNAcentral.
AACGCACCUUGCGCUCCUUGGUAUUCCGAGGAGCAUGCCUGUUUGAGUGUCUUGAAGUCAUCGACCCCUUCCGUUUCGUGCGGGAAGGGUUGGACGUGGGGGCUCUGCUGCCGCGAGGCGGCUCCCCUCAAAUGCAUCGGUUGGGCCUGUGGGUCGAACUCGACUGGGCGUUGUACCAUCCUCGCUCGACAGAGACGUUCCCCUUCCGCGCCCUCCCCCGACCUGCCUAUCAGAGCGGCGGUCAAGCAACAAACUUUGAAAUCUGACCUCAAAUCAGGUAGGACUACCCGCUGAACUUAAGCAUAUCAAUAAGCGGAGGACGAUCUCAUGAGCUGUUGUGAGUCAUCGAGUCUUUGAACGCACCUUGCGCUCCUUGGUAUUCCGAGGAGCAUGCCUGUUUGAGUGUCUUGAAGUCAUCAACCCCUUCCGUUUCGUGCGGGAAGGGUUGGACGUGGGGGCUCUGCUGCCGCGAGGCGGCUCCCCUCAAAUGCAUCGGUUGGGCCUGUGGGUCGAACUCGACUGGGCGUUGUACCAUCCUCGCUCGACAGAGACGUUCCCCUUCCGCGCCCUCCCCCGACCUGCCUAUCAGAGCGGCGGUCAAGCAACAAACUUUGAAAUCUGACCUCAAAUCAGGUAGGACUACCCGCUGAACUUAA